UUAAAUUGAAGAGUUUGAUCAUGGCUCAGAUUGAACGCUGGCGGCAGGCCUAACACAUGCAAGUCGAACGGUAACAGGAAACAGCUUGCUGUUUCGCUGACGAGUGGCGGACGGGUGAGUAAUGUCUGGGAAACUGCCUGAUGGAGGGGGAUAACUACUGGAAACGGUAGCUAAUACCGCAUAACGUCGCAAGACCAAAGAGGGGGACCUUCGGGCCUCUUGCCAUCGGAUGUGCCCAGAUGGGAUUAGCUUGUUGGUGGGGUAACGGCUCACCAAGGCGACGAUCCCUAGCUGGUCUGAGAGGAUGACCAGCCACACUGGAACUGAGACACGGUCCAGACUCCUACGGGAGGCAGCAGUGGGGAAUAUUGCACAAUGGGCGCAAGCCUGAUGCAGCCAUGCCGCGUGUAUGAAGAAGGCCUUCGGGUUGUAAAGUACUUUCAGCGGGGAGGAAGGGAGUAAAGUUAAUACCUUUGCUCAUUGACGUUACCCGCAGAAGAAGCACCGGCUAACUCCGUGCCAGCAGCCGCGGUAAUACGGAGGGUGCAAGCGUUAAUCGGAAUUACUGGGCGUAAAGCGCACGCAGGCGGUUUGUUAAGUCAGAUGUGAAAUCCCCGGGCUCAACCUGGGAACUGCAUCUGAUACUGGCAAGCUUGAGUCUCGUAGAGGGGGUAGAAUUCCAGGUGUAGCGGUGAAAUGCGUAGAGAUCUGGAGGAAUACCGGUGGCGAAGGCGGCCCCCUGGACGAAGACUGACGCUCAGGUGCGAAAGCGUGGGGAGCAAACAGGAUUAGAUACCCUGGUAGUCCACGCCGUAAACGAUGUCGACUUGGAGGUUGUGCCCUUGAGGCGUGGCUUCCGGAGCUAACGCGUUAAGUCGACCGCCUGGGGAGUACGGCCGCAAGGUUAAAACUCAAAUGAAUUGACGGGGGCCCGCACAAGCGGUGGAGCAUGUGGUUUAAUUCGAUGCAACGCGAAGAACCUUACCUGGUCUUGACAUCCACGGAAGUUUUCAGAGAUGAGAAUGUGCCUUCGGGAACCGUGAGACAGGUGCUGCAUGGCUGUCGUCAGCUCGUGUUGUGAAAUGUUGGGUUAAGUCCCGCAACGAGCGCAACCCUUAUCCUUUGUUGCCAGCGGUCCGGCCGGGAACUCAAAGGAGACUGCCAGUGAUAAACUGGAGGAAGGUGGGGAUGACGUCAAGUCAUCAUGGCCCUUACGACCAGGGCUACACACGUGCUACAAUGGCGCAUACAAAGAGAAGCGACCUCGCGAGAGCAAGCGGACCUCAUAAAGUGCGUCGUAGUCCGGAUUGGAGUCUGCAACUCGACUCCAUGAAGUCGGAAUCGCUAGUAAUCGUGGAUCAGAAUGCCACGGUGAAUACGUUCCCGGGCCUUGUACACACCGCCCGUCACACCAUGGGAGUGGGUUGCAAAAGAAGUAGGUAGCUUAACCUUCGGGAGGGCGCUUACCACUUUGUGAUUCAUGACUGGGGUGAAGUCGUAACAAGGUAACCGUAGGGGAACCUGCGGUUGGAUCACCUCCUUACCUUAAAGAA
This 1553-nucleotide ribosomal RNA is filed under the name Escherichia coli. Its description in RNAcentral is "bacterial SSU rRNA". It matches the Rfam family "Bacterial small subunit ribosomal RNA". The record is from RNAcentral. Lineage: Bacteria; Pseudomonadati; Pseudomonadota; Gammaproteobacteria; Enterobacterales; Enterobacteriaceae.